Molecule: ribosomal RNA, 162 nt
Filed under: Heracleum sp. ET-2018
Lineage: Eukaryota; Viridiplantae; Streptophyta; Magnoliopsida; Apiales; Apiaceae
Description: 5.8S ribosomal RNA
Rfam family: 5.8S ribosomal RNA
About the family: 5.8S ribosomal RNA (5.8S rRNA) is a component of the large subunit of the eukaryotic ribosome. It is transcribed by RNA polymerase I as part of the 45S precursor that also contains 18S and 28S rRNA.
Source: RNAcentral
CGACUCUUGACAACGGAUAUCUCGGUUCUCGCAUCGAUGAAGAACGUAGCGAAAUGCGAUACUUGGUGUGAAUUGCAGAAUCCCGUGAACCAUCGAGUCUUUGAACGCAAGUUGCGCCCGAAGCCAUUAGGCUGAGGGCACGUCUGCCUGGGUGUCACGCAU